GUUGUUCUUUUGCUCCUUGGGUCCACACUGCGUUUAUGAGCUGUAAUAUUCACCGCAAAGGUCUGCAGCUUCACUACUAAGCCAACGAGACCACAAACCCACCAGGAGGAACGACAAUUCCAGACGCGUGGCUUUAACAGCUGUUAACACUCACCGCGAAGGUCUGUAGCUUCAUUUCUGAGUCAGCGAGACCACGAACCCACCAGAAAGAAGAAACUCCGAACACACCCGAACCUCAGAAGGAACAAAUUCCGGACACGCCGCCUUUAAGAACUGUAACACUCACCACAAGGGUCCGCGGCUUCAUUCUUGAAGUCAGUGAGACCAAGAACCCACUAAUUCCGGACACACUUUGACCAGCAGAGCAGGCAGAAGUAAAGCCACGGUUCACAGAAGUGGUGAGGGGAAUACGUGGGUCCUAGGCGGACGCUGUCUAUAUCUGGCUGCCCCGGCUGGACACAGGCUCAAUCUUGCUGGAAUCUGUCCUCUUACUCCCCUACCCCAGCCCAGUGCCCCACCAGCGUGCUCCACUCAGCAUCCUGAUUUUCCCUGGAAUGUGCCACUUUGCCACCAUUUCCCUUUCAACAGAUGGAAUAUAGCAAGUUCGCUUUCUGUAUCAAUCAUGUCACAAAUCAUUAAGCAUAUCGACAUCAAGCAGAGCCAGCCUGUGUAGUCGCAAAGGGGUCGGGUGUUCUUCCACUGC
This 703-nucleotide long non-coding RNA is filed under the name Homo sapiens (human). RNAcentral describes it as "HSALNT0365282". Lineage: Eukaryota; Metazoa; Chordata; Mammalia; Primates; Hominidae. The record is from RNAcentral.